This is a long non-coding RNA of Glossina fuscipes, 3543 nucleotides long. RefSeq lists it as uncharacterized. Lineage: Eukaryota; Metazoa; Arthropoda; Insecta; Diptera; Glossinidae. The transcript is spliced from 3 exons. The record is from RefSeq and is a predicted model, not a curated record.
AAACUCGAAGCUUCAUAAAUUUCUUUAAGAAUUGUUUAAGCAAUCAAUAAGCCUGCAUAUGCAAAUUAGUUUAUAGCGUACAAGAUAUGUCUAAACCAUGGCAUAAUCAAGUGCAGGGGAAACGCAGACGUUAGCACGACUCUAUUCUAUUUACUGUUUUGGGGCGACCAUUCAGGCGAUCCCCUCAAGAGGCGAGGGUAGGCUAGUGGUGAGAAAGCAUUUAAAGAUGAGUGAUGUUUGUGCACAAUGGAUAUCAAAACGGGAACGUGUGAAACGUUGGCAAGGAUCACACGACAAGUAGCUUCCUCGCGGCUAAUGCGAUUCGAGAAGGCGAAGCCGCGAUAGUCUAACGUGCGGUAUAAGGAUGAUUCCGGGAUCAAUACGUGAGAAAGAUGAGAAAGCGAAGUAGUUUGUUGUUUUAAAGAGCUUGGUUCAUCGACUAAUCUCUUUCAUUUCUGGAGAACAGUUGCUAUAACUGUACUUAUGAGUAUACAUAAGUAGAGUUACGCUAACGUUCAAGGAUCUCCAAGAAGUUAGAGAUGCUCUCUUCACCAGUAGACAUUUGAUGCGAUGUGUUAACCAUGUUUGUGAUGCAAGAGGACAUGCGUCGGAAGACUCUUGAAAUUGAUUUUGGUAAUUCUCUUUCUCUCAAAUUCACAAUUAUGGCCUACAUGCUUACGUUUGAUAAUGUAUGCCAAGAAACGCGAUCGCGGUGAGCAACUCACAAAUCCACAAGAAACAUCUCUUAUUUCGUACCAAAUCGAGCGUAGUCUGGCUCGUUUGAGAUGUUCAAUAUCUGUGAUCGCAACUUUUGGCCACAUAAAUUCGUGUAACACGGGACUUUGCCAGCCGCCAUCGCCGAUAACGGACAAGGGGAUUAACAGCUAAAGCCUUUGUGUAGGUCGGUAUGUUUAAAGCCGCGGUGGACAUUGGAAGGAAAUUUUUCAGAGCACAAGUGGAACGUAUAAGUUAAAACUUUUAUUAUACGAACGCAAAAUAUUUUUGAAGACUCUCGUUAAGGAAAUUUUUUUGACUCUGAGAUACACGCUCUCUUUACAACGCUGAAUUUAUUAAACGAUCUCCUGCCUUCAUUGCAUGUUCUUUACCACAUUAUUUUUUUUGUUGCCAAAAAAAAAAAAAAUAAAAGAAAAACAGUAGCAAAACUAUUUUCGAGUAUGACCGAGUCUUUUACAACCACCAUCUUAUCUAUUUAUCUUAUAAACACUCAAAAAUAAAAUAAAACAAAAGACGGUAAAAAUAAAAUUUAGAUAAUCUGAUUAUUUUUACAUCCUACAACACUUAUUAUAUAAAGUUGGGUUUAAAAAUGUGGGGAUGUAUGCACCAGCCAGAAAGACUUGAGGUAGGCCCGCUCCCUAUUACGCCUUCAAAUUAAAAGCAGCAAUUUUUAAGAUGUUUUGAUGAAAUCUGACGUGUUUUGCUUCAAGGCCAAACGCCAUUGAAAAUAUUUCAGACUGGACGGAUCCCAUAUAACGCCUUACUUCGAAAAGCCGUUACGUUAAUCACUGUAGGGUGGUGUAGCGUGUUUAGUGGUGGCUGUAGCCGAUUAUAAUGUUUUUUCUUUUAAAUACGAGCGAUCACCCAGAAGGUAGAAGUGCGGAAAGAGAAAGAGAUAGGAAAUGGCCGUAGCCUAGUGGGCCUACGCUCAACAGCUAAAUGUUGCGCGUUUACCAGUUAAGCAUCCGGUGUAUGUACGGCCAAGUAUGCUCUGCCACAUUCAAAAUUGAACUCGCGCACAAUGACUAGGUAGAUGCGAUUCUUAUGGACUCAGCUGCUUAUACGGAUUAACCAAUAAUAUCGGUUUGGUGUGAACGAAUUUGUUGUAAAGGUGCUCUGAAGGAUAAUCCAUAGCAUAUGUUUGAAUGUUUUUAUUAUCGUAUUUACAAUUGAUUAUAGGAAAAAAUGUGAAAGAAGUUGAGGAUAUAGUUACUCUCAGCUCAUGUUGUACUGUAGCAGUGUCUUUUGACCAAUCUGAUCCCAAUUCGCCGCCGGAAAAUUCACUCCCUUUUUGCCAAAUUUCAAGCCAAUUUCACAUUCACGCACAAAGGCAAGCAGACGGACAGAUAUACCUAGAUCGAGGCAAAUGUAUGUAUGUUUUUUAUAUAUUAUAGGGUACCUAAAUCAUUCCUUACGGUAUUGCAAACGUUUUUGUAAUAUGAACAUACACCAACGUUUGAUGGUAAGUAGGUAUAAAAAUGAAUGUUAACUCUUCAGAAUGGAACGUUUGUCUUCUACUGUUUUCUUUUAUUUUUCUGUAUUGUCGUUUAGUCAAGAUGUCACCACAAAAGGCUUAAUCAUUCUUAGUCAGCAAAUAUGUAACUUCCAUAAGAACAAUGACUGCGACGAAGGUACGACGCUUUUUUUGUUUUUCUGCUCUUGAUUUUUUAUAAAAUUGUCGUUUAUUUGCCUCUCCUGCUGAACCGAUUUAUUCCAUUCAAGACAGCAUUUGUUAUUGUUUUAUGGGUAAAAAGAAAAAAACAACAACAAAAAUUGUCUUCAAUAAUUCAGUUGAAAUCAAUGCAAAAAUUUAACAACGAAAAUUGUUGCCGUUUUCCAUGACAAACUGAACAACUGAGCUGAGCGUACGAGGAGGACAUGCAGAAUGACAACUAUGCAGAUGGAAUUCAUGACAAAAUGUAAACACUACAGGUUUAAGAAGUUUAUUACAUCCGUCAUUGAAGAAGGAGAUUACAAAUUAAUCUCCUAAAUUUCAAUUAUUAUAACUAGAUACGUAUAUGUUGGUGUGUCAUGUUUAUGAGGGAGAUAUGCAGAAUACUACUACUAAGCCUCACGCUUCGAAGUGACGAUUCAAAGACUGAGGGAUUACCACACACUGAUCUUUUUCCUCGUAUUCUAUCCUUUCUUCGCAUGUUCCUUUCAAACAAAUGCUCAACGUCUGCGAAGUUAAUGGCUUCUUUUCGUUUCAUUCGAAAUUCGCUUCUUGGUUUCCUUCAGACUCAAAUUGUUGACCGUUGAAAGAAAGAAGCGACGGAGUCAGAGGCGGACAGUGGGAAAGAGACAUCGGAGGUAUUAACAGACACAUAAUAGUCAUGAUUUCAUGGUUUAUGCACGGUCACCAGUUCAAACGAUUGACGCGCCUGUCAUCGGAUUAGUAGCGGAGCAAACAUGUUGUAAAUUUAAUCAAUUAACCACAAACAAGAAAUAACUUUAAACCUUUGGCGACUGUGUGUAAGCGCAUAAGUUUCCAUAGCAGCCUGUAAAGAUCACCGUCCAGAGAACAACAACAAGUGAACAUCGUAUUGAAUUUUGUUUUUUUUUUACAAACAAUCAAAAUGAUUUUUGAAAUCGUGUUUUCAAGUAAUAAGUGAAUGAAUAAAUAAGAAAAUUCGGCAGCUUAAAGCACUGUUUACAAAGUGCUGGUGUUUAUUAAUAUGUUUACUAGCCAAGCGAUACCAACAAAUUUUAACGACCAACAUAACCAGCAGUAGCAACAGCAGCAUCAACAACAACAAUUUAAAUGCGGUAGUUGUUCAUUGAAUCAGUUAUUGAAAUUCCAAGAAAUCC